Molecule: ribosomal RNA, 675 nt
Filed under: uncultured bacterium
Lineage: Bacteria
Description: bacterial SSU rRNA
Rfam family: Bacterial small subunit ribosomal RNA
Source: RNAcentral
AGAGUUUGAUCCUGGCUCAGGACGAACGCUGGCGGUGUGCUUCACACAUGCAAGUCGAGCGAAUGAAGUAGGUAGCUUGCUACUUAUGGAUUUAGCGGCGGACGGGUGAGUAAUAUAUAGGAAUCUGCCUUAGAGCGGGGAACAACAGACCGAAAGGUUUGCUAAUGCCCCAUAGGUAUGCAGUCUUCGGAUUGUAUAUUAAAGGAGUAAUCCACUCUAAGAUGAGCCUGUAUCCGAUUAGCUAGUUGGCGGGGGAAAGGCCCACCAAGGCUACGAUCGGUAGUUGGUCUGAGAGGAUGAUCAGCCACAAUGGGACUGAGACACGGCCCAUACUCCUACGGGAGGCAGCAGUGGGGAAUUUUACACAAUGGGGGAAACCCUGAUGUAGCGACACCGCGUGAACGAAGAAGCCUUUUGGGGUGUAAAGUUCUGUCGGCUGGAACGAAAAAAUGACGGCACCAGCAAAGGAAGCAUCGGCUAACUACGUGCCAGCAGCCGCGGUAAGACGUAGGAUGCAAGCGUUGUCCGGAUUUAUUGGGCGUAAAGAGUUCGUAGGCGGUUAUUUAAGUCUGAUGUUAAAUACUGUGGCCCAACCACAGAACUGCAUUGGAUACUGGAUGACUUGAGUGCGGUAGAGGCAAGUGGAAUUCCCAGUGUAGCGGUGAAAUGCGUAGA